This 3535-nucleotide small RNA is filed under the name Pongo abelii (Sumatran orangutan). Its description in RNAcentral is "retained intron". Lineage: Eukaryota; Metazoa; Chordata; Mammalia; Primates; Hominidae. The record is from RNAcentral.
CCCUCCACCAUUUUGUGGCCCGCUAUGGCGGCGGUGUUGAGGUUGGGUCCGGGAUGUGGGGCCUUUGACUGAAGGGGUAGGCCAAGUGGAGGUAUCAGGGACGUCGCGCGGCACAGAAGAGGACCAGCCUGGACGCCGGGGACGCUGUCAUGUACGGCGCGGGCGGGGGCCGCGCCAAACCCGAGAGGAAAAGCGGCGCGAAGGAGGAGGCCGGGCCAGGCGGUGCCGGCGGUGGGGGCAGCCGAGUGGAGCUCUUGGUUUUCGGCUAUGCCUGCAAGCUGUUCCGGGACGACGAGCGGGCCCUGGCUCAGGAACAGGGACAGCACCUCAUCCCCUGGAUGGGGGACCACAAGAUCCUCAUCGACAGGUCGGUUCCUCCCCCCACCCGUCGAUCCUUCCCUUCCCUCACCCGCUUGAUCUCGUCUGAUGUUGACUUGAUUGCAAGGACUGCAGAGGGUUUUCUGGAGCCAGCGGGGAUCUGGGGGACACCCCCUCCCCUGUCCCCACCUCCUCCUGGUGUUCUGGUGGGGAGGGGGACGGUGAAACCUGCCCUAAGGCACUCGCUGGAAUUGCGUGCCGCGUCCGUCUCCAGAGGGAUCGUCUCUGGUCCCGCAGCCCCUCUCGAUCCCUCACCCUGUCGCUGGGCUGCAGUUGGCGAUUCCGCGCGGUGAAAGCAGCCAGUGCCCAGGGUCUCUUCCUGAGCGCACCUGGGCCUGCCGCCCGGCGAUGCCAUGGGGUCGUGCGCUGCUUUUCUACUCGCCGCGCUCUCACUGCUGGGUGUACUGGGAGGGUAGCCUGGGAGGCGUGCCUUUAUUCUUCCGAACCGCCGCUCACUGAGACAGUGGCUAGAAGUGUCUCUUGGACCCUGUGAGUUAGCCUUAACCUGUUAUGCCCCCCAGAGCCCUCAGUGGAGCGCCCGUACUUUGCCGGCAUGACGUUUGAUUUCCCGGUGAUAAUCCGACGAGUUUGACAGAUUGAGGUAGUGAGCAAAGUUGCCCGUCAGUUGGCGGCCACUUGACUUCGUGCGGACCCUGGCCUUGCUCUUGGAAGAGAUAGUGUUCUUAGGGCUGGUUUCACUGUCUCUUAAAACUGAAGGGUGGAGCUGGGAUAUAGAUGUGUUGUUUCUUUUCAAAUCAAACCUGCUUUAGGUCGUCACUCGAGGGUGUCUAGCGAUUAUGGGCAGUGGGGGCCUGGGAUUAGGGAUUUCUAAAGGCGUUUGAUUUGAAAAGGAUAACAUUACAUGAUGUAGGUGGUUUGCUCCCCUCUUUCUUCCCAUUUUUUCAAUCCCCCUUCCCCUCGUCUCUGGGUUUUGGGGUUGUUGUGGGGUAGUUUUUUUCUUUUUUGCCUGUUCGGCUACUUCUGGGGCCCGGACUGAAAAGCUAACCAUGACCAGCCAUUAAACUGUGGAAUAGUUUCUCCACGUGAAGAAAGCCCAUCGUUUGAGACCAUUAAAACUGGAUUCUUCAUAGCCCUGGAGCAUGACUGUAGGGAUGACCUCUGAGCUGGCCAGAAUGGACCCAUUAAUGACCAAAUAGGCCUUUUUCCAUCCCUGACGUUUCCUCUUGGAAUUAGAGCUCGAAAACAAGAACUGGUGAAGGGAGGGCCGCGGAAUCAGAUCAUGUCUGGAUCUGAUGGCUCCGUGCUGUGCUCAAGCGUGCUGUGCCUUCACACCAUGGUUUAUAUUGAAUAUGUCGCCUGAGUUGUCAGGCUUGCUUUUCCAAAGUGUCACUUGUGAUAUUUAUCAUUAAAGUUUGGUAAGCAAUGAAGUCUGAGCUCUUUGUACAGUUUUCCUGUCAUUCUGUACAUGAUUUGAGUUAGGUCUUCCAAAACUGGUGGGGAGCAAACGCCGCACAUGUACAUGUAUAAUAUUUUUAAUAAUAAUCUACAUUUGUAAGUUAAGGAGGUUUACAUCAAAGUCCAAUUAAUUUUUAAAUUUAAUGAAAUGCAGUAACUUGACUACCUUGGAAUUUUGGGCCUUUUUCCUGUAAAUGUCUUUUUUGGUCUACAUUAAAAUUUUUGGUUCCCCUUACAAAAGUCAGCAUUAAAAAAAUAAGCAGACUUUUGUUUGUUUCUCUACAUUUGUUUUUGAAACCCUAAACCUGAGUGUUUUAAGUAAAAUUCACUCACUCACUCAUUUAUUAUCUGACAGUUACACGUUGACAGCACCCUCAUUGAAUCCUUUAUGUUAAAAACAUAGCAGAAAGUGCUCCCAUUACUUAUUUGGCCAAACUACUGUUCGGUCCAUGCAAGAGAAACGUGGAAGUGUCUUCAUGUAUGUUAUUUCCUUGAGGGUAUAAAGUUCAGAAGGAAAUAUUGAUACCGUAUCUUCUAAUAGUUUUGCUCUGUUCCCAGUGAACCUCCUUAAACUGCAUGUAUAUGUCACUGUUCCGAUGUAUGUGUGUCUCUCUAUCACGUAACCCAGCACUUAUUUCCUCAGCCAAGUGGCUAGGGGGCGAGCCUAGCCAAGAUUUUACCUCCAAUGGACGCAAGUUUCUUUGGUGAAGAUCUCUCCUGAGAGUUCGGGACUAGCAGAAAGAAGCGAGGAAAUUUCGACCGUUUGGUUCUUACGGAUAGGUAUUUAUGUAUUUGGUUUGUGUGAAUGUAAGCUAUGAUAUUUAACUUUUCAGAAAAAAAUAAUAAUUUUUUGCAAGUGGCAUUGAAUGGUUGACCAAACCAUAAUGGUAAGAACUGCCAGUGAAGUGGAUACCAUUUUUGCUAUUAAUGGAUUGUUUGCCUUUAGUUAUAAAUGUUAUCUUACUGUGGAAAGGCAUUUAGAGUUUGUUAAGAUAACUUGAGUUUAAAAGUAGGUGAGAUAUGACUAUCCAAAUUAAAUAUAAAUCUGGGAAGAGUUUUUAUACUUGUUUUAAUAUUUUUAUUUAUUUUAAUUGGUAAGUAUGUGUGUAUCUAUAUAUACAUAUAUAAAACAUCACACAUGCACACCAGUCUAGACGUUAAUUUCCUUUUAUUGACCAGCUUGUUCACAUUACAGAUAUGAUGGACGUGGUCACCUGCAUGACCUUUCUGAGUACGAUGCUGAGUAUUCCACGUGGAACAGAGAUUAUCAGCUGUCUGAAGAGGAGGCGCGAAUAGAGGCCCUGUGUGAUGAAGAGAGAGGAAGAAUACAAGCGAUUGAGUGAAGCACUAGCAGAGGAUGGGAGCUACAAUGCCGUGGGGUUCACUUACGGUAGCGACUAUUACGACCCGUCAGAGCCAACAGAGGAGGAGGAGCCUUCCAAACAGAGAGAAAAAAAUGAGGCUGAAAAUUUAGAGGAAAAUGAAGAGCCCUUCGUUGCCCCCUUAGGAUUGAGCGUCCCGUCUGACGUGGAGUUGCCACCAACCGCUAAAAUGCACGCCAUCAUCGAGCGCACGGCCAGCUUCGUGUGCAGGCAGGGAGCACAGUUUGAGAUCAUGCUGAAGGCCAAGCAGGCCCGGAACUCCCAGUUCGACUUUCUGCGCUUCGACCACUACCUCAACCCCUACUAUAAGUUCAUCCAGAAAGCCAUGAAGGAGGGACGCUACACCAUCCUGGCAGAAA